UUGAAAUACCAAAUCUCGUAGGAUCACCGAAGGUAAGCAACGUCGAGCUUGGUCAGUACCUAGAUGGGUAAUCAUUUGGGAAUACCCGGUGUUGUAAG
Non-coding RNA from Acanthosepion pharaonis, 98 nucleotides. NCBI's taxonomy places the organism in Eukaryota, Metazoa, Mollusca, Cephalopoda, Sepiida, Sepiidae. The record is from the annotation of a GenBank genome assembly.